GUAAUUUUACGUUAGCUCCUUAGCCCACCGCGAAUGCUGCUAAGUAGGUUAUCAAAAGCAGGAGCAAAGCUUUAACUGCUGCUGAUUUAACUGCACUUUAGGACGAGAAAGUUUUCACAGAUGCAGCAAUUUUAGCUGGAAAUAAUAUCUCGUCGAUGAUACAGUUGUCUGAGGAUGUACUCAAACAGAUCUGAACACGGUUACAGGCGGCAGUACAGCGAGAGGAGUUCACGGCAACGGGAUGAAUAUGACGACAGAUGGGAGAAAAGGCGCGAACCUCCCAGAGACAUGCCACGGGAGUCGUAUCAUAAAUAUGGUGGGGAUGGACGCAGCAGUACAGAGAGAACAAGAAGUAGGGAGUACAGUGAGUCUCCGAAGAGGCUUUACAGCAAAGAUACACUGAACAGAGACUGGAGCAGGAAGAGCCCGGCGAGGAGACGCGCGUCUUCACCGGUGCGGGACCUCUCUGACAACAAAAAGCAGAGGUUUGCAGAUGACGACGAGCGGGAAUACAGGUACAGGCGUGAGGCUCAGGAGAAAACAUACAGGCCUUCACCGGACAGUUUUUCACGAUCGCAUCUAACCAGGAAUAUUGAAGAUGCGUCACCACAAAAUGAGGAUUUCAAGUACAGGAAAACACCUCAGGGCUCCAGGCACAGGCCUCGGCAUGAGGAGUUCCCAUACAGGCAGCUAAAUGAUGAGUUACCUUACAGACGACUGUCGGGGUCUUACAAAGAUGGAGAUGAAUAUGAGAGGGGCCGGGAUCCAUCACAAGAGAGGGCACGAUCACAGGAGAGGAGUUAUGUCAAUCCCAGAGAGAGGAUGGACAGUCCUCUCACUUCUGUAUAUGAUGAGGAUUAUCGCCAAGCUGGAGCAAGAUAUCCAUUGAAUGGCUCGAGCCGACAGACACUUGGACUGCAGAAUGAAUCAACGUGAGUGGAAAGAUGCUGUCCACAGACUCCAGAGACUUCUGGAGCCAAGCUGCCACAGCAUGGGGAAUGCCUCCAGAGGUCACAGAGACUGGGACACUUACCAUGAACACUCGAGAUAUACUGUUCCUGAACCACAAAGGAGUGAUGUGAGGUGGAAAGAGCUCAGUCCUUCAUCUCAUCAUGUUCAUAGUAAAGUCCCAGAGGUGGAGGACCCGGAUGGAGAGCCGCUGCCAUACAGUGAAGAGGAUGUAGAGCUAGCAAGAAAGCAGCAGCUCCUCAGAGAGAUGGAGGAGAGAAUUAUGCACAAGAAAGCUACCCUCGCCAUGAAAACGCAGUUUGUGGAGACACCACCAGGUGUUUCUGGUGACAAGCAGCCGGCUAUGUGUGUAGGUCAAACUCUAAGAGACAGAGUGAAGGAGAUUCUGAUGCAGCGACAAUAUCUCAGCUAUUUCUCAAAGGUGCAGUUAGCCAGAGAGAGAAGGAGCUCUUCCUGCCGGAGCAAAGGUGGUGUGCUGCAGGAACAGCAUCCUCUGAAGCUCAGAGUGAAGGCUCUAAUGAAGAAGAGACACACUGUUUUACCACCUUACAGCGAACAGGGCCCUGACAUCACGUGGCCUCCUUCCAGCCGAAGCGUUACAUCACCACCUAAGAGAGAGGACGUCAUCAACAAGGGUUUCGAGUGCUUCCUCAGCGUGCUCAACAAAGGAGUGGACAUCAACUUGCUCAAACCUGAGGAUGACUGUGGCGAGGUCCCUGGUGUGUCACUGCCACCUCUCGGCCGAAGCAUUUCUUCACCAGCAAAGGAUGAAAAUAAUGUCAACAAGGGUUUUGAGCGCUUCCUCAACAUCCUCAACAAAGGCGUUGACAUCGAAAAGUUUAGCAGGAUUAUGAGAAAUGAUAGAGAGGAUCUUCCUUUAGGUGAGGAGCCUCUGAACAUUCAGCUCCCUGAGGUGGGGAGCAAAUCAGAUCCACCUUUUAGGACUGAGAAGCAACAGCUGAACAGUGGAGCUUCACUGCUGGGCCUCAGACAGCCCAGUGAGAGUCUACUCAGCAUGGACAAUGACAUUGAGGCAAGCCUCACCCAGAGAAAGGAAAGCCAACGGUUGUUUAGUGGUGCCUCACUGGAACGUCUCAGCCCACUCAGUGAAAACCAGUGCUCAAACAGUCGAGCCAUUCUGUUACUCAGCCAGGCCAGUGAGAGCCAGCGGUCGAAGACUGGAGCCUCGCUGAAAGGCUUCAGCCAGCCCAGCAAGAGUAUUGGCAGCGGUGCCUCACAGCCAGUACUCAGCAAAGCCAGUGACAGUGAGCAGGCAGGCAGUGGAGCCCUGCUGACAGACCUCAACCAGGCUAGUGAAAGCCAACAGUUAAAUACCGGAGCCUCACUGCCAGGCUUCAGCCUACCUAGUGAGAACCAGCACUCAAAAACUAGACCCAUUCUUCUAAGCCACGGACGGGAAAGUGAGAGCCAGCGGUCGAAGAGUGGAUCCUCACUGAAGGAUCUCAGUCAGAAAAAUGAGAGUCUACUCAGUACAGUCAAUGAAGGUGAACCAGGCCUCAACCAGGCAAAGGAAAGCCAACGAUUAAAUACUGGAGCCUUGCUGAAGGGCCUCAGCCAGCCCAGUGAAGGUACUGGGAAUAGUGCUUCACAGCCUGGACUUAACAAAGCCAAAGACAGUGUGCAGUCAGACAGUGGAGUCCAGCUAAUGGGCUUCAGCCAAGCCAGUGAAAGCCAACAGUUAAAUACUGGAGCCACAUCACCCAGUGAGAACCAACUCUCAAACACUAAGCCCAUUAGGCUAAGCCUCAACUGGGCAAGCAAGAGCCAGCCUUUAAAGAGUGGUACCCUAAUUCCUGGGCUCGGUGAUGACAGUGACAGCAAGUCAAACGGUGGAGACCUGCUGGCAGGCCUCAACAAGACCAACAGUGGAGAGAAAAAGACUGAUUCAUCUACUCGAGAGAGGCUCUUCUUACCUGGUGAUGAGGAGAAGAAGAAGAAGGGCAAAAGAGACCACAGUUUGGGCUCUAGUAAUCGAUCAAAGUCGCCGGUGGCAGUGAAGAAGAAGAAGGAGGAGGAAGAGGAAAAAGAAGAAACCUCAUCGGUGAGUGAGCAGCAUGAACAGCUGCAGAGCAUUCUUAAAACUCUGGGAUGGAACCUGGACGUGAACGAGCUGAGCAAACUGGCAAACCGCACUCAGGAGAGGCUUUGUGGGAGGAAAAACGAACGUGCGAACAGCAGAGAGGAGCACGAGAGCCGCCAGAAGCACUCUCGUGACCGAGAUCGCAGGAAGUCGUCACGCUCUCCUCUGCGGAGCAGCAAAACAGACGAGAGUCAGGAGAGAAUGCAUGGGAGGAAGAGCGAAGGGAGGGUGAGGAAGAGUGAAGGGAGGAGGAGGACUGACAGCAGAGGGGAGGACGAGACACAGCAGACACGCUCCCUUAGAGAUCACAGAAAUUCCUCUUCCUCAUCUUCCUCCAGGUCAGCCUCUAGAAACUCUAGCCCAAGCCCCUCACGCCGUCGGCGCUCUCGCAGCAGAGAUUUGAAACGGCGGCGAAAGGCCGAACGAAGCCGCUCGCGAGAAAGAAGCAGAGAGAGACUGAAACACAGAGAUAGACGGAACAGCAGAGAAACACUGAGGGACAGAGAGCGAAAAGACUCGAAACAUUUUUCUCCUUAUCCUUAUUCACAAAAUCCCGUGUUUCCUCAUCCUGCUGCUUCUCCGUUUCCAGACUACACUUUGUCUCAGUACUCACAUUUCGCUGUUACCCAGAGUGGCCACUACAGCGGUGCUACAAAUCCUUACUGGUCAUAUAAUCAGUAUAACAUUCCUCCCUCUCUUUCUGCCAGCGGCCAUCCUUACCCACACUUUCCUGGCUCUGUAGUGGCACCUAACAUGGCUCUCCCUGAUCCCAGCCUUCUUACGAACAGUGCCUCAUUUCCAAACCCGGACCUGUCUGUGAGCGAAGGCCAAGAUGGGUCAGCCUCUGUUUCUCGCUGCCUGAGAGUCAUCAAUACCGAGCAGGCAUCCUCUCAGAGCCUCACAGGUAGACACAACUGGAGACGGGGUCACAAAGAACUUAUGGGAGAUUUCAGGAAUCCCAAAGGUAUUUUAGAGAAACACAAUAAUGCAUUAAAGUCACCACUGGCACCACAGGACUCAAAGGUAUGCACAAAGACUGUGGGUAAUGACCCCAGCACUGAGGAGAUAAAAGAGGAGAAGCCGCAGCUAACAGAGGAGGAAAUAAAGGCGAACCUGAGGAAAAAGCUUGAAGCGUUUAACCAGAAGGCGAAGAACACGAGCCAGCUGCCUCACUCCAAAGUCAUGCAGCCAGCAAACUCCCUGAUCUCUGAGAUAGACUGAAGCGUCUGUGUCCUGUGAAGAUUUUUACUUUGUAUUUUUUCAGCCUUGUUCACAUUUGUCCCUGACCUCUAAUGCCUGACUGUCAUCUGAAAAAGGUUUUUGCACAGUUCAUUAUUGGUCUGCUUUCGUGUUUUAGCUCUGCGCUUCUAUGAAUGUCAUGAGUUUUGCUUAAAGUUGAUUACGAGAACUAUUUUUUGUAGGCCGUACUGUAGUUUGUUAAUGAAAAAUGUAUAUUUUCAUUGUUAAAAAGGUUUCAGCCUGUACAGUUUCCGGUUUUACAUUCACUCUGUCACACUAAUAAAGAAAUCUUACAAAAAC
Long non-coding RNA from Oreochromis aureus, 4609 nucleotides. NCBI's taxonomy places the organism in Eukaryota, Metazoa, Chordata, Actinopteri, Cichliformes, Cichlidae. The record is from Ensembl.